GGAGAGAUGUCCGAGCGGUUGAAGGAGCACGCCUGGAAAGCGUGUGUACGUUAAUAGCGUACCGAGGGUUCGAAUCCCUCUCUCUCCG
Molecule: transfer RNA, 88 nt
Organism: Geobacter sp.
Lineage: Bacteria; Pseudomonadati; Thermodesulfobacteriota; Desulfuromonadia; Geobacterales; Geobacteraceae
Rfam family: tRNA
About the family: Transfer RNA (tRNA) molecules are approximately 80 nucleotides in length. Their secondary structure includes four short double-helical elements and three loops (D, anti-codon, and T loops). Further hydrogen bonds mediate the characteristic L-shaped molecular structure. tRNAs have two regions of fundamental functional importance: the anti-codon, which is responsible for specific mRNA codon recognition, and the 3' end, to which the tRNAs corresponding amino acid is attached (by aminoacyl-tRNA synthetases). tRNAs cope with the degeneracy of the genetic code in two manners: having more than one tRNA (with a specific anti-codon) for a particular amino acid; and 'wobble' base-pairing, i.e. permitting non-standard base-pairing at the 3rd anti-codon position.
Source: Rfam